ACCACCAUGUAGUCAAAAUAUGAUAUUCCUGAUGCCGCAAAAGGUUGGGUUCUGAAAAGACUUCGAGAAUCUUGGAGAAAGCAUAGAGCUGAUUUGAAGGAAGAUCAUUAUGAUCCAUAUCAAAAUGAUGAAGUUCAAAUGGCGAAUAGGCCGAAAAGUGUUCCAAAAUGUCAAUUUAAAGAGCUCCUCAUAUAUUGAAAGUCCGAAAAAUUUCAGAAAAUGUCCAAGACAUACUGAGAAUCGAAAGAAGCUAAUGGAUCCAUACACUGCUGGCAAAAAGAGUUUUACUUUAACUCGCGAUAAAUUAGUGUGUUCUCUUAUUGAGUUUUAACUUGUCAUUUAAGUAAUUUCUUAUAUUCAUUUUCAUAUGAAUAGGAAAAAGAGAAGGGGGAACUUUGUCGCUAAAGGAAAUGUUUGCGGCCACAAGAGCAAGAAAAUCUGAUCAUACAUACAAGACGUCAAAUGAAAGCAUCACUAGUAAAAUUCAGUCAUGGGUCCUGAACAUCCGGGAGGUGGUAAGACUGUAUGAAAGCACGGUUACAAAGACUUCUUUGAAAAGAAUAAAUGGCACUUCUGAACCAACUUUAAAUGCCACCAAUGAUGUCGUGCAACAAAUGCAAUAAAUGGAGGAUCAAAAGAGAACCAUUCGACAAGAAGUUAUUGCAGAUGUAAUUGCUCAACUUCAGAAUGCAGGAUUAAUUGAUUCUAAAAUACUAGCGGCGUUGUCCAUUCCUUCGCCAAGAGAAUCUACCUCUACACUAGCAGCUACAGGGAGAAACAGUCAAGGUUGGUGUUUGAAAUUCUGAAUUGCACCCCAGUUCAUUUGGUGCCGAUAUUGUUGGACUCUAUUGGAUGGUUAUCAGUGGCUGAUAAUUGUGUAUU
Long non-coding RNA from Capsicum annuum, 882 nucleotides. RefSeq lists it as uncharacterized. Lineage: Eukaryota; Viridiplantae; Streptophyta; Magnoliopsida; Solanales; Solanaceae. The record is from RefSeq and is a predicted model, not a curated record. The transcript is spliced from 3 exons.